This 78-nucleotide transfer RNA is filed under the name Pyrodictium occultum. Its description in RNAcentral is "tRNA-Arg". It matches the Rfam family "tRNA". From Rfam's summary of the family: Transfer RNA (tRNA) molecules are approximately 80 nucleotides in length. Their secondary structure includes four short double-helical elements and three loops (D, anti-codon, and T loops). Lineage: Archaea; Thermoproteati; Thermoproteota; Thermoprotei; Desulfurococcales; Pyrodictiaceae. The record is from RNAcentral. RNAcentral also lists the same sequence under 13 other names.
GGGCCCGUAGCUCAGCCAGGAUAGAGCGCCGGCCUCCGGAGCCGGAGGUCCCGGGUUCAAAUCCCGGCGGGCCCGCCA